RNAcentral lists this ribosomal RNA (1555 nucleotides) under Escherichia coli. RNAcentral's name for it is "partial 23S ribosomal RNA". It matches the Rfam family "Bacterial large subunit ribosomal RNA", at positions 1402 to 2925 of the family's 2925-position model. Lineage: Bacteria; Pseudomonadati; Pseudomonadota; Gammaproteobacteria; Enterobacterales; Enterobacteriaceae. The record is from RNAcentral.
CCGAAAGGCGUAGUCGAUGGGAAACAGGUUAAUAUUCCUGUACUUGGUGUUACUGCGAAGGGGGGACGGAGAAGGCUAUGUUGGCCGGGCGACGGUUGUCCCGGUUUAAGCGUGUAGGCUGGUUUUCCAGGCAAAUCCGGAAAACUAAGGCUGAGGCGUGAUGACGAGGCACUACGGUGCUGAAGCAACAAAUGCCCUGCUUCCAGGAAAAGCCUCUAAGCAUCAGGUAACAUCAAAUCGUACCCCAAACCGACACAGGUGGUCAGGUAGAGAAUACCAAGGCGCUUGAGAGAACUCGGGUGAAGGAACUAGGCAAAAUGGUGCCGUAACUUCGGGAGAAGGCACGCUGAUAUGUAGGUGAAGCGACUUGCUCGUGGAGCUGAAAUCAGUCGAAGAUACCAGCUGGCUGCAACUGUUUAUUAAAAACACAGCACUGUGCAAACACGAAAGUGGACGUAUACGGUGUGACGCCUGCCCGGUGCCGGAAGGUUAAUUGAUGGGGUCAGCGCAAGCGAAGCUCUUGAUCGAAGCCCCGGUAAACGGCGGCCGUAACUAUAACGGUCCUAAGGUAGCGAAAUUCCUUGUCGGGUAAGUUCCGACCUGCACGAAUGGCGUAAUGAUGGCCAGGCUGUCUCCACCCGAGACUCAGUGAAAUUGAACUCGCUGUGAAGAUGCAGUGUACCCGCGGCAAGACGGAAAGACCCCGUGAACCUUUACUAUAGCUUGACACUGAACAUUGAGCCUUGAUGUGUAGGAUAGGUGGGAGGCUUUGAAGUGUGGACGCCAGUCUGCAUGGAGCCGACCUUGAAAUACCACCCUUUAAUGUUUGAUGUUCUAACGUUGACCCGUGAUCCGGGUUGCGGACAGUGUCUGGUGGGUAGUUUGACUGGGGCGGUCUCCUCCUAAAGAGUAACGGAGGAGCACGAAGGUUGGCUAAUCCUGGUCGGACAUCAGGAGGUUAGUGCAAUGGCAUAAGCCAGCUUGACUGCGAGCGUGACGGCGCGAGCAGGUGCGAAAGCAGGUCAUAGUGAUCCGGUGGUUCUGAAUGGAAGGGCCAUCGCUCAACGGAUAAAAGGUACUCCGGGGAUAACAGGCUGAUACCGCCCAAGAGUUCAUAUCGACGGCGGUGUUUGGCACCUCGAUGUCGGCUCAUCACAUCCUGGGGCUGAAGUAGGUCCCAAGGGUAUGGCUGUUCGCCAUUUAAAGUGGUACGCGAGCUGGGUUUAGAACGUCGUGAGACAGUUCGGUCCCUAUCUGCCGUGGGCGCUGGAGAACUGAGGGGGGCUGCUCCUAGUACGAGAGGACCGGAGUGGACGCAUCACUGGUGUUCGGGUUGUCAUGCCAAUGGCACUGCCCGGUAGCUAAAUGCGGAAGAGAUAAGUGCUGAAAGCAUCUAAGCACGAAACUUGCCCCGAGAUGAGUUCUCCCUGACUCCUUGAGAGUCCUGAAGGAACGUUGAAGACGACGACGUUGAUAGGCCGGGUGUGUAAGCGCAGCGAUGCGUUGAGCUAACCGGUACUAAUGAACCGUGAGGCUUAACCUUACAACGCCGAAG